RNAcentral lists this ribosomal RNA (253 nucleotides) under uncultured bacterium. RNAcentral's name for it is "partial 16S ribosomal RNA". It matches the Rfam family "Bacterial small subunit ribosomal RNA", at positions 524 to 776 of the family's 1533-position model. The record is from RNAcentral.
UACAGAGGGGGCAAGCGUUGUUCGGAAUUACUGGGCGUAAAGCGUGCGCAGGCGGUUGUGCAAGACAGAUGUGAAAUCCCCGGGCUCAACCUGGGAACUGCAUUUGUGACUGCACGGCUGGAGUGCGGCAGAGGGGGAUGGAAUUCCGCGUGUAGCAGUGAAAUGCGUAGAUAUGCGGAGGAACACCGAUGGCGAAGGCAAUCCCCUGGGCCUGCACUGACGCUCAUGCACGAAAGCGUGGGGAGCAAACAGG